CCUACGGGGGGCAGCAGUGAGGAAUAUUGGUCAAUGGCCGUAAGUCUGAACCAGCCAAGUAGCGUGAGGGAAGACUGCCCUAUGUGUUGUAAACUUCUUUUAUAAAGGAAUAAAACUAGGCACGUAUUCCUUUUUUCAUGUACUUUAUGAAUAAGAAUCGGCUAACUCCGUGCCAGCAGCCGCGGUAAUACGGAGGAGCCGAGCGUUAUCCGGAUUUAUUGGGUUUAAAGGGCGCGUAGAUGGGUUGUUAAGUCAGUUGUGAAAGUUUGCGGCUCAACCGUAAAAUUGCAAUUGAUACUGGCAGUCUUGAGUACAGUAGAGGUAGGCGGAAUUCGUGGUGUAGCGGUGAAAUGCUUAGAUAUCACGAAGAACCCCGAUUGCGAAGGCAGCUUACUAAACUGUGACUGACAUUGAUGCUCGAAAGUGUGGGUAUCAAACAGGAUUAGAUACCCGAGUAGUC
Molecule: ribosomal RNA, 460 nt
Filed under: uncultured bacterium
Lineage: Bacteria
Description: partial 16S ribosomal RNA
Rfam family: Bacterial small subunit ribosomal RNA
Source: RNAcentral